RNAcentral lists this non-coding RNA (28 nucleotides) under Homo sapiens (human). The record is from RNAcentral. Lineage: Eukaryota; Metazoa; Chordata; Mammalia; Primates; Hominidae.
UGCACCUCGCUCCCGUCCUAGAAUUGGC